RNAcentral lists this long non-coding RNA (2254 nucleotides) under Homo sapiens (human). Its description in RNAcentral is "HSALNT0105575". Lineage: Eukaryota; Metazoa; Chordata; Mammalia; Primates; Hominidae. The record is from RNAcentral.
GAAAAGUUAGGAGGCGGGGCUGAGCAGUGUGGGCUGGAACAUCUGAGGAGCUGUGCGGCGGAGGUGUGGGCUGCGGGACUGGAGGCAGCUGGGAGGAGCAGGCAGGCACUGGUCGAGGAGCAGCAAGAGCCCCUUGCAGAGAAGGGAAGGGGUGUAAUGGGACCUGUUUCACAGGAUGAAGGGCUUUGGAUGAGAACCCUUCUGAGUCAUGACAUUGGAUCCCAACUCUGCUAUUUACAGGCAGUGUGACCUGUGCAUGAUCUCUCUGGGCCUCAGUUUUCCUCAUCUGUGAAAGGGACAAUACUGUCAUUCCUAUGCUGCACAGUAGCUGUAAAGGCUAAAGGUAAUGGCUGUAGGACGCCUGGCACACGGCACGUCUGUGGUUAUCAGAGGGUAGUAAGAGUCAAGGCUUCUGGAACAGAUAGACCCCAGAGAUAAGGUGGAAUAGAAAGGCAGGGUCCAAAGGGGAAGGCUUGAUCCACAUGCGACAUGAGGAGGAGCUUGGAGAGGUCUCAAGAUGCAGAGCCUUGGAAGGAAGAUGAGACUGGGGCUGGAGAAUGAGGAAGGAGGAUGGUGGCCCAUUCUCCUAGGAUGAUGGUGGCCAGGCCAGGGUGGCAGCUGCAGGAAGACAAGUUAAUGAAGUUAUUGCUGCAGAAGACUCUCAGGGCCAGGGACUGGUUGGAUGGGCAGGGUGAGUCAAGGCUGAGGCCUCACUUUUAGCCUGGGGGUAGGGAGGAGUGGGGCUGCCUCCUGCAGAGUUGGGGAAACUGGAACAGACCUGGGGAAGCUGGGUGGAGGAUGAUUUUACUUUAAGAUGCAUCUGAGAUGACAGCAAGACAUGGGCACUAUCCAUGGGGGGGGCAGGGAUGGCACCAGAACCAAGGACAGAGAUCCCUGCCACUGAGGCAGCAGAGAAGGGUAAGCAGGCGGAGGAGGGUGUGGGGUCAUGUUGAGGGGAGGACAGCUAUGGAUAAGUUUCUUUUUCCGGGUCAUCCCAGUGAAAUAGAAAGCAAGGCCACCUGCUGUACAUGGGCUUCAGGCACCUGGGGGGCUGGGGACCCACCACCCCUUCAGAGACAGUGCAUCCUGACAUGGCCCCCGUUGUCCCCACCUGCUUGGACCCGGCUGACUUCCACGAAUGCACAUAUGUUUCUGUUCCCUGUGGACGUGGAGACAGCAAUGACGCACAGCCUCCUCCAUGCAAACACGCCAGCCAGAAAUCCGUGACUAUACCCAGCAAGGCCGUGGAGGAGCUGCUAACCUGGACCCCAAAGGCUGAGCCUGGCAGACUGGUCUCCACAGCUGACAAGGGCUGGUGAGCAGCAGGCCUCAGCCUGUCCUCUGCUGGGUGCUAAACUCUUGAGAAGGUUCCUUUCAUUCGCCCUGGUUCCUGACCCUCUACUCACGCCCUAAGAACUUCAAGCGAAUGACAUCGAGGAAGAAUCACUUUCCAGCAUCUCUGUAUUUGAUUUUUAGUCAUCUCAUGAUCUUUGCAGGUGUUUUUUAACUAAGUUAACACUGCUUGUCUGACUCAUCCAUCCCUGAGGAAAUCACGUGGGAGAAACAGAUUGCUUAUCACACACUUCCAACAAGACAACCCAAAAUGAAUUUCUAGAGGAAACUGGACUUCCCAUAAGUUUAAGAUAUGUGAAGCCACCCAGGAUGGAUACUGGGGAGAAAGAUGCACAUAGACUCCAGACUGGCUUUUACCUGAUGGGGUAUCACCCUUUGCUUACCUCCUGAAAAUGUUAAUUUAGUGAAGAACCUGGUGGUUUCUUGAUUCGGUAGAGUAGGAAGGUCACAACAUCACCCGUGAUUAUUCUUGCCAAAACGAUGUCACCUGAAUCUAAUUGAGGCCUAACUUCCAGCUUACAGUAAAUAUGGAGCAUGAAGGAUGCCAGGUGCAAACAAUCAGACAAAUGGAGCCUGUGGGAGGCUGGCAGAGACUGUUGCUGGCUACCAGCAGCCAUCUGCGGCCCACUUACUCCUUGCCCACCUCCCUGUAAAGCAGCUGAAAGGCCUGGUCCUUGGUUUCAGCUAAGGGUGAAUCAUGAGCUCACGGUGAUCAUCAGACCCCACCCCCCUGGACAAUGAGAAGUAACAGGGACUCUGCUGGAUUGCUUCUUGGAAAGAUUUCCCUCCUUGAUAAAAGAGUUUCGCUUUUGUUGCCCAGGAUGGAGUGCAAUGGCACUAUCUCGGCUCAUUGCAACCACCGCGUCCCAGGUUCAAGACAUUCUCCUGCCUCAGCCUCCCA